This 73-nucleotide transfer RNA is filed under the name Chloroflexota bacterium. RNAcentral describes it as "Chloroflexi bacterium (hydrothermal vent metagenome) tRNA-His". It matches the Rfam family "tRNA". From Rfam's summary of the family: Transfer RNA (tRNA) molecules are approximately 80 nucleotides in length. The record is from RNAcentral. Lineage: Bacteria; Bacillati; Chloroflexota.
GUGGCCGUAGCUCAACCGGCAGAGCACCUGACUGUGGAUCAGGUGGUUGGGGGUUCAAGUCCCCUCGGCCACC